UGGCUCAGUGGUAGAGCGCGUGCCUUGCAUGCCUGAGGCCCUGGGUUCGAUUCCCAG
This 57-nucleotide transfer RNA is filed under the name Dipodomys ordii (Ord's kangaroo rat). It matches the Rfam family "tRNA", at positions 8 to 63 of the family's 71-position model. Rfam says of the family: Transfer RNA (tRNA) molecules are approximately 80 nucleotides in length. Their secondary structure includes four short double-helical elements and three loops (D, anti-codon, and T loops). The record is from Rfam by way of RNAcentral. Lineage: Eukaryota; Metazoa; Chordata; Mammalia; Rodentia; Heteromyidae.